Molecule: non-coding RNA, 191 nt
Organism: Pimephales promelas (fathead minnow)
Lineage: Eukaryota; Metazoa; Chordata; Actinopteri; Cypriniformes; Leuciscidae
Source: RefSeq, a predicted model, not a curated record
CACAGGCCUGUACAGAUCUGAUCUCCCAUCAUAAACAGCUAACAGUGGGUCUUCCUCCCGAGCCCAGAGAGAAGGUCAUCACAGUUCCUCUUCCUCCCGAGGAACUGAUUAGCCUGAUCUAUGAGGCCAGUGGACAAGACAUCAGCAUUGCAGUACUCACACAGGAGAUCAUGGCGUAUCUGGCCAUGUAU